UACGAAGGGGGCUAGCGUUGCUCGGAAUCACUGGGCGUAAAGCGCGCGUAGGCGGUUCGGAAAGUCGGAUGUUAAAACCCGGAGCUCAACUCCGGGCCUGCAUCCGAUACUCCCGGACUAGAGGUAGGUAGGGGAGAUCGGAAUUCCUGGUGUAGCGGUGAAAUGCGCAGAUAUCAGGAGGAACACCGGUGGCGAAGGCGGGUCUCUGGGCCGAUACUGACGCUGAGGAGCGAAAGCGUGGGGAGCGAACAGG
Molecule: ribosomal RNA, 253 nt
Filed under: uncultured bacterium
Lineage: Bacteria
Description: partial 16S ribosomal RNA
Rfam family: Bacterial small subunit ribosomal RNA
Source: RNAcentral